Molecule: long non-coding RNA, 3888 nt
Filed under: Panax ginseng (ginseng)
Lineage: Eukaryota; Viridiplantae; Streptophyta; Magnoliopsida; Apiales; Araliaceae
Description: long non-coding RNA (PGIN_LNC004019)
Source: RNAcentral
UUAUCAUGGCAUCCAUCACAGGUACAUGUCUCUCUUCUUUCCUCUAUGUUCUCUCUUUUCUCGCUCUUCUCUGUCCUCUCCCUUCUCUCCUCCAUCUCUAAAAUUGAUCGGAUAGUUUUCAUUUUCUAGGGUAAUUUUGCUUCUCCUGCUGUUCUCUUUCAAUUCGGUAAGACAUCUAACUUCAGUUUACUUAUUUGUCAUUUCUUCAAUUUGUUCAUCCAUUUGUACUUGAUCAAAUCUGAUUUUGGUUAUAUUUGGUGAUUUUGGUGCUCAAUCAAUUUUGAUUUUGGUUAUAUAUGCACCACAUGUUUGAUGUAUUGAUGCUAUGAAUAUUAGAAUAGGGAAAACACAAAAGCCUAUUUUGUAAGAGGGAGGAUCAUAUUUUGUAAGAGCUUUUGGUAGUAUUUUAAUGAACACAUCUCACCUUCAAUGCAAAAUAACAAAGUUUUGAAGCUGCUCAUCUACAAUCUGCCUUCUUUUAACAUGUAAACUUAUACCAUUAUAACCAUUCGACCAAGUAUGGAAUCACCACUUUUAUUAUCUGUUUCUUUUAUCCAGUAGGCCAGUUAUUUGGCAUGCUGUGUUUAUAAGUGACAGAGUAUGUGCUAUCAAAUGGAAAUCAGCAUUAAAAAAUUAUACUAAAUUAAAAAUAAAGAAAAAGGCCUUGGGAAUAUCCUCAUCAAGAUGAAGCAAAACCCGUUGAUAGUUGAAAUUCUCUGCCAUGACCAUUUUAUAGCAUAUCUGAUACUGCACUUGCAGCAAACAUUAAUAUGUAAACAGAAACAAAACAUGUACUCCAUAUAUAGUUGAAAGUAAAACAAAUCCUUAAUGACAAACAUCGAAUAUUGCACUUACAAAUACAUUAGAGGUUGCUAAAUCUCUAUUCUAAUGUUUAAAUCAAUAUUGAAGUAAAGUACAACUAUAGAAAGGGUACUGAUAUGUUUCUUCUGCAUAUGUUUCCAUAUAUUUAGGCUUUGCUCUUUGCGGGGCCUCCAAAAGCUAUCAGGCAACCCAUGAGAUUAUGAUUCCUAUGAUGUUGCUGUAGUUUACGUUUCAAAUUUCUCUGCUUUUCCUUAAUUUCAGUUGAUGAUAACUUCUCUGUUGGUAUUGAGAUAAACAUGUCCCUUAAUUCCUCUGUAACGUCAAAAUCUUCAAGAACCUACAGACAUUUUACAAAUUAUUAUAAAUGGCAUAUGCUAAUGUACCAGGACACGAAAGAAGUAAAAAAGAGGAGUGCUUUAAAAGCUUCAGCUAAUGCAGCCAAAUUAACCUUGAAAACUCCAUCCACAUUUCGACCACCCACAACGAAAGAACAUCCUGUAUUUUAGCAGCCAAGCGGUAUCUCUAACAUCUUGCCAUAAUCACCACCAUAAUAUUUGGCCUGCAAACCAAUCGGUAACUACUAUUACUUUUGUUCUUAAUAUGUUAACUUUUGUCAUGGUAUAAUUCUUAGCUCUUGCUGCCUCAUCUUUUGUAUAUGCCCACUACCCAUCCGGUGCUUGUUUUCAUUUUUAGUGUAGACCUUUAGGCUAUGUUUAUACUUGGGAUAGGACUAUCAAUCCCAAGUGUCUUGUUUGUUUUUAAAUUUAGACUUGAGACUAUUAGUCUAGGGAUUAUAAAAUGACUUAAUGUCUUUAGAUUAUACUCCCUCCAUUCCUUAAUAUAAGUCGUUUUAGAAAAUUAUUUUUGUUCCUUAAUAUAAGUCGUUUAAGAAUUUCAAGUAAGCAUUAAUUGCUUAGUUUCCAAUAUUACCCCAAAUAAUAAAUAUAACUUUGGUUUUCUUACUAUUUUUUGCCCAAUAAAUAACAUUCUUUUUUCAAUAUAAGGGCAAUAUAGACAAUUGAUAUUAUAUUUAAUGUUAUACAAUCAUUUCCUUAAUACUUGUGCACAACUCAAAAACGACUUAUAUUAAAGAACGGAGGGAGUAAUUAUAAUUCCGGGAUUAUAAUCCUAAGAUUAAUAGUUUUGGGAUUAUAAUCUCAUGGAUUAUAAUACCGGGAUUAUAAUCUUUGCAAACAAACAUAGCCCUAAAGUCCUGAGUAGACUAAGAUCUGGCAUAUAUAUAUAUAUAUAUAUAUAUAUAUAUAUAUAUAUAUAUAGGCUAGCAUACUUCAAAUAAUUUGACCCGUCAAUUAGAUUAGAGUUGGGGAUUGCAUUUGAGAUUAUUGUUCCAUUUUCUUUUCUUUUUUGGGUUGGACAUUAUUGUUCAUAUUUUUGAGACAUAGUUAUUGUAGGUUAAGAGUGGGGGAGGAUGAGCAUGUGUGAUAUCUCCAACGAAUGGUUUGUUCUCCUGUCUGAGGCAUGCAUACCUCUUCACAACUUUAUAGUUUAUCACUACAUAUCAAGAUCUCGGUUCAGCUUUAUGGAUGCAUAUGAUGACCCUGGACCCUAUGGAAGAGGGCGCUAUAAUGACAACAUGGUUCACGUGGUUAACAUCACUCAAUGGCGCUAAGGGUCUCAGUGGUUUGAAAUUAAUUGAAAACUGACAUUUAACAUUGUUGAAGAUGAUACUUGUUACCCAAAGUUUGAGUAGUUCUGCAGACCAGCUUGUUAUGUGGACGAGCACUACUUUCCAACCAUGUUGAGCAUCCAUUUGCCCCGCCUCUUGGCAAACAGGAGCAUUACCUAUGUGGACAGUGGACUGGUCUAGAGAUGGUGCACAUCCUGCUACAUUUGGAAAAGCCGAUAUGACAACAAUUUUAAGAAAAUUCUCCAAGCUCAAACAUGGAGCUGUAAUAACCAGCAUCUUCAGCUCUAAUAACUAACCAUUCGUUGAAAAUAAUUGUUUGUUGGUGCAUAUGAUAUUACUUUUUGUUUAUUUCUAUAUAUGAUUUGUGUUGGCUUUAAGGCUUUUUUUUUUCAUAAAGGUGUUUAUUUGAAUUUUAAAUACAUAAAAAUAUAUUAAAAAAUAUUUUUCUAGCGAAGAUGUUAAAAGUUCUAUUUAAUUUUUUUUUUAUAAGUUUGUAGACUGGUAUAUAAAAAAACAAAACAGAUCAUUUCACAUUUUAUUAAACAGUUAAAGUAGAAUGGUGAUUUUAUUCUCGACAGAAUGAAUGAACAAACCAAACACAAAAAUUAAAUGACCAUUACAUUCCCAUUCUUUUCUUUAAGCCAUUCCAUUCCUUAAGUCAUUCUAUUCCAUACAUGCCAAGGAAUGAGAACCAAACAUAGUCCUAGUACUUCAGCACACAAACAUAUAUACAAAACCAAGAAGCAUAUAUAGAAUAGAAACAUAAAAAGGGGGGAAAUGGUUACUUAUUGUCAUGGAAUAUACAUUUCCCAAGAAUUUUCUGCACAAUAAGCUUCAUGAAGAUGAUAAUGGCUCACCAAUUUGUAUAUUUUCAGGAAGCAUGAUUCCUUCAGAGAAGAUGAACCUAUUGGAUGCACCAAAGAUGUUAGCUACUUGAAGCACUGCCAUUUGAGAUACAGCAGUCAUUGGCAAGACUGCGUCGGGGAGGCAAGGGAUACAUUCAGGAAGAUAUUCUUUCUUAUUAAAAGUUGGAGCAUAUAAUGUUAAAACUGUCUGACAAAAUAUAAACCUGCAAAAGUGAAAAAUUAAUUUACAAAUGUGUCAUCUUCGGAUUCAUAUAAAGAUACAUGAGAAACAUAUAGCAAACUAAUUCAAGAAAGUUAGCAAAUUAACGUAUGGAAGUUGCACUGCCAUUUGGGAGUGCAUGUUUCUAGUUACUUAUUAACUUCUCUCAAUGCCACAAAAUUUAUGAGCUUUUCUUUUUCAAAUGUAAUUUCUAUGUAAAUGCAUUCAACAGGAAAAAGAUAAAACAAUCCCUCUCUAUACAAAAGCGUCCUAAUUAUUUGCUUAGAAGAUCUCGAAAAUAGUUGAAAUUCUAAAAGCUAAGUUAUCCACAAAAAAGAAAGAGAGAGAGAGAG